RNAcentral lists this ribosomal RNA (467 nucleotides) under uncultured bacterium. Its description in RNAcentral is "partial 16S ribosomal RNA". It matches the Rfam family "Bacterial small subunit ribosomal RNA", at positions 28 to 507 of the family's 1533-position model. The record is from RNAcentral.
GACGAACGCUGGCGGCGUGCUUAACACAUGCAAGUCGAACGGAAAGGCCUCUUUCGGGGGGUACUCGGGUGGCGAACGGGUGAGUAACACGUGAGUAACCUGCCCUUGACUUUGGGAUAACUUCAGGAAACUGGGGCUAAUACCGGAUAGGAGCUCCUGCUGCAUGGUGGGGGUUGGAAAGUUUCGGCGGUUGGGGAUGGACUCGCGGCUUAUCAGCUUGUUGGUGGGGUAGUGGCUUACCAAGGCUUUGACGGGUAGCCGGCCUGAGAGGGUGACCGGCCACAUUGGGACUGAGAUACGGCCCAGACUCCUACGGGAGGCAGCAGUGGGGAAUAUUGCACAAUGGGUGGAAGCCUGAUGCAGCAACGCCGUGUGCGGGAUGACGGCCUUCGGGUUGUAAACCGCUUUCGCUCAUGACGAAGCUUUGUGUGACGGUAGUGGGUAAAGAAGCACCGGCUAACUACGUG